This 18-nucleotide non-coding RNA is filed under the name Arabidopsis thaliana (thale cress). The record is from RNAcentral. Lineage: Eukaryota; Viridiplantae; Streptophyta; Magnoliopsida; Brassicales; Brassicaceae.
UCGCUGGUUUCAGUCGCC